UGUUGAAACACCGUCAUUUGUGUUGUCAAAAAUACUAUGCGCAUUAUAAUUCAUAGUAAUUUCACUAUGUGCUUCGUUCGAGUGUUUGUUUUUUGAGGGUCAGCCGUUCGCGAUUUCGGAACGCGAACAAAAAUUAUCGGAUUGUCGGUUUGUCGGAUCGGGAAAUGUAUUCCCUCAGAUUUCCCAGAUUGUGUCGACGACCAGCUGGAAAGGACCUCAACGAGCCUUUGAACCAACGCACCCGGAGCGGGACAGCAGAUUAGUCUGAUCGGAAAUUUUUCAGUGUCGGCGAAUGCGCUCGAGUUCCUCAACCUCCCUCGAUUUCGGAUAUUGAACAACGUCGGAGGACAUUGUGACGAAAGCUGCUAACCGGUGAGCUGGUCCACUGUUUGCGGAACGCAAUUUCAGUACAUCUGCUGGGCCGUUAAAUGCUGGCUUUCAGACGCUAAGUGUGAUGCAACCCCUGUGCCCCAUUCGUGGGUGGUGCUACCACCAUGAAUUGAAAUAUAAAGA
Molecule: long non-coding RNA, 513 nt
Organism: Uranotaenia lowii
Lineage: Eukaryota; Metazoa; Arthropoda; Insecta; Diptera; Culicidae
Exons: 4
Source: RefSeq, a predicted model, not a curated record